AUUGAACGCUGGCGGCAUGCCUUACACAUGCAAGUCGAACGGCAGCACGGGAGCAAUCCUGGUGGCGAGUGGCGAACGGGUGAGUAAUAUAUCGGAACGUGCCCAGUCGUGGGGGAUAACGCAGCGAAAGCUGUGCUAAUACCGCAUACGAUCUAUGGAUGAAAGCGGGGGAUCGCAAGACCUCGCGCGAUUGGAGCGGCCGAUAUCAGAUUAGCUAGUUGGUGAGGUAAAGGCUCACCAAGGCGACGAUCUGUAGCGGGUCUGAGAGGAUGAUCCGCCACACUGGAACUGAGACACGGUCCAGACUCCUACGGGAGGCAGCAGUGGGGAAUUUUGGACAAUGGGCGCAAGCCUGAUCCAGCCAUGCCGCGUGAGUGAAGAAGGCCU
Molecule: ribosomal RNA, 387 nt
Filed under: uncultured bacterium
Lineage: Bacteria
Description: bacterial SSU rRNA
Rfam family: Bacterial small subunit ribosomal RNA
Source: RNAcentral